GCGGACGUAGCUCAGUUGGUUAGAGCGCCGGUUUGUGGUACCGGAGGUCGCGGGUUCGAGCCCCGUCUUCCGCC
This 74-nucleotide transfer RNA is filed under the name Acetobacter oeni. It matches the Rfam family "tRNA". Rfam says of the family: Transfer RNA (tRNA) molecules are approximately 80 nucleotides in length. Lineage: Bacteria; Pseudomonadati; Pseudomonadota; Alphaproteobacteria; Acetobacterales; Acetobacteraceae. RNAcentral also lists the same sequence under 1 other name. The record is from Rfam by way of RNAcentral.